RNAcentral lists this ribosomal RNA (628 nucleotides) under Ophiostoma bicolor. Its description in RNAcentral is "eukaryotic LSU rRNA". It matches the Rfam family "Eukaryotic large subunit ribosomal RNA", at positions 1 to 652 of the family's 3401-position model. The record is from RNAcentral. Lineage: Eukaryota; Fungi; Ascomycota; Sordariomycetes; Ophiostomatales; Ophiostomataceae.
UGACCUCGGAUCAGGUAGGACUACCCGCUGAACUUAAGCAUAUCAAUAAGCGGAGGAAAAGAAACCAACAGGGAUUGCCCCAGUAACGGCGAGUGAAGCGGCAACAGCUCAAAUUUGAAAUCUGGCCCUCGGGUCCGAGUUGUAAUUUGGAGAGGAUGCUUCUGGCGCGGCGCCGUCCGAGUUCCUUGGAACAGGACGCCAUAGAGGGUGAGAGCCCCGUACGGGCGGACGCCUAGCCUUUGUGAAGCUCCUUCGACGAGUCGAGUAGUUUGGGAAUGCUGCUCAAAAUGGGAGGUAAAUUUCUUCUAAAGCUAAAUACCGGCCAGAGACCGAUAGCGCACAAGUAGAGUGAUCGAAAGAUGAAAAGCACUUUGAAAAGAGGGUUAAAAAGUACGUGAAAUUGUUGAAAGGGAAGCGCCUGUGACCAGACUUGCUGCCCGCGGAUCAUCCGGCGUUCUUCGCCGGUGCGCUCCGCGGGCGGCAGGCCAGCAUCGGUUCUCCUGGGGGGUUAAAGGUUGCGGGAACGUGGCUCCUACGGGAGUGUUAUAGCCCGCUUCGUCAUGCCUCCGGGGGGACCGAGGACCGCGCUUCGGCAAGGAUGCUGGCGUAAUGGUCACCGGCGACCCGU